GAGUUUGAUCCUGGCUCAGGAUGAACGCUAGCUACAGGCUUAACACAUGCAAGUUGAGGGGCAGCAUGGUCUUAGCUUGCUAAGGCCGAUGGCGACCGGCGCACGGGUGAGUAACACGUAUCCAACCUGCCGUCUACUCUUGGACAGCCUUCUGAAAGGAAGAUUAAUACAAGAUGGCAUCAUGAGUCCGCAUGUUCACAUGAUUAAAGGUAUUCCGGUAGACGAUGGGGAUGCGUUCCAUUAGAUAGUAGGCGGGGUAACGGCCCACCUAGUCUUCGAUGGAUAGGGGUUCUGAGAGGAAGGUCCCCCACAUUGGAACUGAGACACGGUCCAAACUCCUACGGGAGGCAGCAGUGAGGAAUAUUGGUCAAUGGGCGAGAGCCUGAACCAGCCAAGUAGCGUGAAGGAUGACUGCCCUAUGGGUUGUAAACUUCUUUUAUAAAGGAAUAAAGUCGGGUAUGCAUACCCGUUUGCAUGUACUUUAUGAAUAAGGAUCGGCUAACUCCGUGCCAGCAGCCGCGGUAAUACGGAGGAUCCGAGCGUUAUCCGGAUUUAUUGGGUUUAAAGGGAGCGUAGAUGGAUGUUUAAGUCAGUUGUGAAAGUUUGCGGCUCAACCGUAAAAUUGCAGUUGAUACUGGAUAUCUUGAGUGCAGUUGAGGCAGGCGGAAUUCGUGGUGUAGCGGUGAAAUGCUUAGAUAUCACGAAGAACUCCGAUUGCGAAGGCAGCCUGCUAAGCUGCAACUGACAUUGAGGCUCGAAAGUGUGGGUAUCAAACAGGAUUAGAUACCCUGGUAGUCCACACGGUAAACGAUGAAUACUCGCUGUUUGCGAUAUACGGCAAGCGGCCAAGCGAAAGCGUUAAGUAUUCCACCUGGGGAGUACGCCGGCAACGGUGAAACUCAAAGGAAUUGACGGGGGCCCGCACAAGCGGAGGAACAUGUGGUUUAAUUCGAUGAUACGCGAGGAACCUUACCCGGGCUUAAAUUGCAGAUGAAUUACGGUGAAAGCCGUAAGCCGCAAGGCAUCUGUGAAGGUGCUGCAUGGUUGUCGUCAGCUCGUGCCGUGAGGUGUCGGCUUAAGUGCCAUAACGAGCGCAACCCUUGUUGUCAGUUACUAACAGGUCAUGCUGAGGACUCUGACAAGACUGCCAUCGUAAGAUGUGAGGAAGGUGGGGAUGACGUCAAAUCAGCACGGCCCUUACGUCCGGGGCUACACACGUGUUACAAUGGGGGGUACAGAGGGCCGCUACCACGCGAGUGGAUGCCAAUCCCAAAAACCUCUCUCAGUUCGGACUGGAGUCUGCAACCCGACUCCACGAAGCUGGAUUCGCUAGUAAUCGCGCAUCAGCCACGGCGCGGUGAAUACGUUCCCGGGCCUUGUACACACCGCCCGUCAAGCCAUGGGAGCCGGGGGUACCUGAAGUGCGUAACCGCGAGGAGCGCCCUAGGGUAAAACUGGUGACUGGGGCUAAGUCGUAACAAGGUAGC
This 1487-nucleotide ribosomal RNA is filed under the name uncultured bacterium. Its description in RNAcentral is "bacterial SSU rRNA". It matches the Rfam family "Bacterial small subunit ribosomal RNA". The record is from RNAcentral.